CUACGGAGGGUGCAAGCGUUACUCGGAAUCACUGGGCGUAAAGCGCGCGCAGGCGGCUAUUUAAGUUGGAUGUGAAAGCCUAUGGCUCAACCAUAGAACUGCAUCCAAAACUAUUUAGCUAGAGUGUGGGAGAGGAAGAUGGAAUUAGUUGUGUAGGGGUAAAAUCCGUAGAGAUAACUAGGAAUACCAAAAGCGAAGGCAAUCUUCUGGAACACUACUGACGCUGAGGUGCGAAAGCGUGGGGAGCAAACAGGAUUAGAUACCCUAGUAGUCC
RNAcentral lists this ribosomal RNA (274 nucleotides) under uncultured bacterium. Its description in RNAcentral is "partial 16S ribosomal RNA". It matches the Rfam family "Bacterial small subunit ribosomal RNA", at positions 523 to 796 of the family's 1533-position model. The record is from RNAcentral.